Molecule: ribosomal RNA, 813 nt
Filed under: Platymantis sp. 21 CDS-2015
Lineage: Eukaryota; Metazoa; Chordata; Amphibia; Anura; Ceratobatrachidae
Description: partial 16S ribosomal RNA
Rfam family: Bacterial large subunit ribosomal RNA
Source: RNAcentral
UUACUAAUCUCUCACAUUUUCCCCAACCCUUCACCCCUAUUGAAUGAUUCCAUAAAUUUAUGGAAGCCACUAUGUAUAAACUAGUAACCAGAAUAUGAAAUUCUCCUUAAUGUAAACAUAAGCCUAAACGGACACACCAACGGCAAUUAACGUAUAUGAACCCCAUACAAUAACCUAUUAAAAAAACUUGUUUUACCAAACGUUAACCUAACACAAGAACAUUUUAGGAAAGAUUUAAAGGAAGAGAAGGAACUCGGCAAAUUUUUAACCCCGCCUGUUUACCAAAAACAUCGCCUCUUGACAAAUUAUAAGAGGUCCCGCCUGCCCAAUGAUUUCUUAAAUGGCCGCGGUAUUCUAACCGUGCUAAGGUAGCACAAUAACUUGUCCUUUAAAUGGGGACUAGCAUGAACGGCACCACGAGGGUUAUACUGUCUCCUCAACCUAAUCAGUGAAACUGACCUCCCCGUGAAAAGGCGAGGAUUAACCUAUUAGACGAGAAGACCCCAUGGAGCUUUAGACCUAAAGCACACCCAAUUAUUUAAUUCCCCAAAAUUCAAGAUUUCUGACUCCCAGUCUUAGGUUGGGGCGACCACGGAGUAAAACCUAACCUCCAUGAUAAAUAGAUAAAAUCUUUAUCUAAGAGUUACAACUCUAAGAAUCAACAAACUGAUAUUUACUGACCCGGAACCCGAUCAACGAACCAAGUUACCCUGGGGAUAACAGCGCCAUCUACCUCAAGAGUUCAUAUCGACAGGUGGGUUUACGACCUCGAUGUUGGAUCAGGGUGUCCCUGUGGUGCAGCCGCUACAUAAG